AACGCUGGCGGCAGGCCUAACACAUGCAAGUCGAGCGGUAGAGAGAAGCUUGCUUCUCUUGAGAGCGGCGGACGGGUGAGUAAUGCCUAGGAAUCUGCCUGGUAGUGGGGGAUAACGUUCGGAAACGGACGCUAAUACCGCAUACGUCCUACGGGAGAAAGCAGGGGACCUUCGGGCCUUGCGCUAUCAGAUGAGCCUAGGUCGGAUUAGCUAGUUGGUGGGGUAAUGGCUCACCAAGGCGACGAUCCGUAACUGGUCUGAGAGGAUGAUCAGUCACACUGGAACUGAGACACGGUCCAGACUCCUACGGGAGGCAGCAGUGGGGAAUAUUGGACAAUGGGCGAAAGCCUGAUCCAGCCAUGCCGCGUGUGUGAAGAAGGUCUUCGGAUUGUAAAGCACUUUAAGUUGGGAGGAAGGGCAGUUACCUAAUACGUAUCUGUUUGACGUACCGACAGAUAGAC
Molecule: ribosomal RNA, 461 nt
Filed under: Pseudomonas sp. BAS323i
Lineage: Bacteria; Pseudomonadati; Pseudomonadota; Gammaproteobacteria; Pseudomonadales; Pseudomonadaceae
Description: bacterial SSU rRNA
Rfam family: Bacterial small subunit ribosomal RNA
Source: RNAcentral